This is a non-coding RNA of Aedes aegypti (yellow fever mosquito), 104 nucleotides long. The record is from Rfam. NCBI's taxonomy places the organism in Eukaryota, Metazoa, Arthropoda, Insecta, Diptera, Culicidae.
GCGCGAUGAUUUUCGGUGAUUAUCCGGCGGAGUACAACCCGAAGAUCCACGGACCUUACGAUCCUGUCCGUUACUACGGCAAGCCGGAUACACCAGGUGAAGUU